GCCUGGGUGGCUCAGUCGGUUGAGCGUCUGACUUCGGCUCAGGUCAUGAUCUCACGGUUCGUGAGUUCGAGCCCCGCGUCAGGCU
Molecule: transfer RNA, 85 nt
Filed under: Felis catus (domestic cat)
Lineage: Eukaryota; Metazoa; Chordata; Mammalia; Carnivora; Felidae
Also listed under: 1 other name
Rfam family: tRNA
About the family: Transfer RNA (tRNA) molecules are approximately 80 nucleotides in length. Their secondary structure includes four short double-helical elements and three loops (D, anti-codon, and T loops). Further hydrogen bonds mediate the characteristic L-shaped molecular structure. tRNAs have two regions of fundamental functional importance: the anti-codon, which is responsible for specific mRNA codon recognition, and the 3' end, to which the tRNAs corresponding amino acid is attached (by aminoacyl-tRNA synthetases). tRNAs cope with the degeneracy of the genetic code in two manners: having more than one tRNA (with a specific anti-codon) for a particular amino acid; and 'wobble' base-pairing, i.e. permitting non-standard base-pairing at the 3rd anti-codon position.
Source: Rfam by way of RNAcentral